Zonotrichia albicollis (white-throated sparrow) is the source of this 1954-nucleotide long non-coding RNA. The record is from Ensembl. Lineage: Eukaryota; Metazoa; Chordata; Aves; Passeriformes; Passerellidae.
CUACCCCUGGAAUUGUCCCAUCCCAGGGAUCAGCCCAUCCUUGGAAUUCUCCCAUUCUUGAAAUUGUUCACUCCUUGGAAUUGUCCAAUCCCUGGAAUUCUGUCCCUAGAAUUGGCCCAUCCCUGGAAUUCUCCUAUGUCUGGAAUUCUGUCCCUGGAAUUGUCCAAACCCUGGAAUUUUAUCACAGGAAUUGUCCCAUCCAUGGAAUUCUCCCAUGCUUGAAAUUGUUCACUCCUUGGAAUUGUUCAAUCCCUGGGAUUCUGUCCCUGGAAUUGUCCCAUCCAUGGAAUUGUCCAUUCCUUGGAAUUCUCCUAUCCCUGAAAUUCCACCCUUGCCAUUGUCCCAUCCAUGGAAUUCUCCUUUCUCUGGAAUUGCCCCCAAAUCCCUGGAAGUUUCCAAGGCCGGCUUGGAUCCGCCUGGAAUAUUUGGAUUGGCUGGAAUUUCAGGCUGGGAUUCAGGGACGGCAUUGAAGGAUCCCAAACCACUCCACAAUUCCAUCAAUUCUUCCCAAAUCCAACCCGAGACCCCAAAAUCCCUGGAAUUCCCAACACUGACCGAUCCCAUUCCCGUUUUUUUUUUCCCCCAGAGCAAAAGCACCUUGAACCCGGACGCCAAGGAAUUCGUUCCCGGAGUGAAAUACUGACCUGGGAAAUUCGGGAAUGGCCUGGCCAGAGACUGAAUCCCUGCUCCAGGGAAAAGUUGGGACAUGGGAAGGGCCCGGAGCGGCUCCAGCACCGGGAUCUGCUCCGGUUCCAAGUAUUUCUGCUUUUCCCCAAUUUUUUUUUUUGGUUUUUUUUCUGGUUUUUCCUCACUUUUUCUUGGCAGUUUUUGGCUUCCUUGGGAUUUGCGGUGACCCCGCCGGCGGGAAAAUCUUGGGGAAAAUCAUGGGAAAAAAUCUUGGGAAAAUCAUGGGAAAAUCAUGGUAAGAUCAUGGAAAAAAUCACAGGGAAAUAAUGGGAAAAUCAUGGGAAAAAUCAUGGAAAAUCACAGGAAAAUCAUGGAAAAAUCUUGGGCAAAAUAAUGGAAAAAUAGUGAGAAAAGCAUGGGAAAAUCAUGGGAAAAUGACAGGAAAAUAAUGGAAAAAUAAUGGAAAAAAAAAGGAAAAUCAUGGAAAAAUCCUUGGGAAAAUAAUGGUAAGAUAAUGGAAAAAUCACAGGAAAAUAAUGGGAAAAUCUUGGGAAAAAUCAUGGGAAAAUGACAGGAAAAUAAUGGAAAAAUCACAGGAAAAAACAUGGAAAAUCACGGGAAAAUAAUUGAAAAAUCUUGGGAAAAAUAAUGGAAAAAUAAUGAGAAAAGCACGGAAAAAUCAUGGGAAAAUGACAGGAAAAUAAUGGAAAAAUCAUGAAAAAAAAUGGGAAAAUCACAGGAAAAUCUUGGGAAAAACAAUGGAAAAAUAAUGAGAAAAUAAUGGGAAAUCAAUAAUGGGGAAAUAAUGGAAAAAUCAUGGAAAAAUCACAGCAAAAUAAUGGAGCAAAAUAAUGGAAAAAUCUUGGGAAAAAUAAUGGGAAAAAAAUACGAGAAAAGCAUGGAAAAAACAUGGAAAAAUCAUGGGAAAUCAAUAAUGGGAAAAUCAUGGAAAAAUCAUGGAAAACCAAUAAUGGGAAAAUCAGAUUUUCCUGCUUCCAGAGGAUUUUUAGGAUUGGGAGCUGCACUGGAUUUUCCCUGAUUUUUCCGGAGCGGAAUUUUCCCUGAUUUUUCCAGAAUGGGAUUUUCCCUGAGUUUUUCCAGAGUGGAAUUUUCCCUGAUUUUUCUGGAAUGGGAUUUUCCCUGAUUUUUUCCAGAGCGGAAUUUCCCCUGAUUUUUCUGGAAUGGGAUUUUCCCUGAUUUUUCCAGAAUGGAAUUUUCCCUGAUUUUUCCUGAAUGGGAUUUUCCCUGAUUUUUUCCAGAAUAGGAUUUUCCCUGAUUUUUCCGGAAUGGAAUUUUUCCAGAAUGUGAUUUUCCCUGAUUUUUCUGG